AAAGCUCUAGAGAUAGAGUGGAGGUUUAUCCGGGAUACAGGUGGUGCAUGGUUGUCGUCAGCUCGUGUCGUGAGAUGUUGGUUAAGUCCCGCAACGAGCGCAACCCUUGUCUUUAGUUACCAUCAUUCAGUUGGGGACUCUAGAGAGACUGCCGGUGAAUAAACCGGAGGAAGGUGGGGAUGACGUCAAAUCAUCAUGCCCCUUAUGGCCUGGGCUACAAACGUAAUACAAUGGCGUAUACAAAGGGAUGCGAAAGGGCGACCUGGAGCAAAACUCACAAAGUACGUCUCAGUUCAGAUUGGAGUCUGCAACUCGACUCCAUGAAGGCGGAAUCGCUAGUAAUCGCGGAUCAGCAUGCCGCGGUGAAUACGUUCUCGGGGUUU
Molecule: ribosomal RNA, 383 nt
Filed under: uncultured Erysipelothrix sp.
Lineage: Bacteria; Bacillati; Bacillota; Erysipelotrichia; Erysipelotrichales; Erysipelotrichaceae
Description: bacterial SSU rRNA
Rfam family: Bacterial small subunit ribosomal RNA
Source: RNAcentral